Molecule: non-coding RNA, 822 nt
Organism: Peromyscus maniculatus bairdii (prairie deer mouse)
Lineage: Eukaryota; Metazoa; Chordata; Mammalia; Rodentia; Cricetidae
Source: RefSeq, a predicted model, not a curated record
AAAAGGCAAUGGGGACAUGUUGUAAAGUGCCUUGAUGCUGGAACAAUUGCACUCUGGAAACAUUCUCUUGGCUGGUUGAGUAUGACCACAGCCACAGCUCAGCUCACUCUACAAACAGAAUUAGUCAUGGAGUAUAUGUUGAACAGCAUUCUGUAGAGCUUUCUUGUUCAGACUCAGUGCAUGAUGUCACAGUGGACCUUCACACUUUGGAAUGAUACUGCUGCAGAACAGUAGAAUUGAAUCACAUUGAGCAUUUUAUACUGGCAGUUAUUAUGAUCAUUUUAAACAUGAUGUUUGAUUCAAACCUUAUGUUCAACCAGCUUUCACGAAAGUAAAAGAAAAUGCCUGAGGGCCAGCAGAUGUUGAAGGAUGUAUAAUCCAGGACAAUAACCUUAGAAGCCAUGUACCUCGGACACACACCGCAGUUUCCUGAAGGCACGGAGUAGGACUUGAUCCUGUGGAGUGAGAGUGGGAGAGGAGGCAAGACGUUUUCCAGUUGGUACUGUUCUUCCUGGAUCCAGACACGAAGCUUCCGUUGUGGCCAUGGCUGUGGAGUGGUCCCGGCCUCCUGCCCCUGCUGGCGCUUCUAGAGGCAGUCUCAUAAUGUUCUCUCAGGGACACCAGCUACAACCAGCCCAAGUCCUUUCCUUACAGUACCAGAUCCGGGGUACCUCCUGCUCUCUCCUAGUUUUCAUUUGUCUUUAUCCUUUCCCUUUGUUCCCUGGGUCUCAGAUUUGUGACUGAUUUCUGAGUUAACUCUGUGCUCAGUCCUCUAACACCCAUGAAGCCAGUCCUCUCCAUUAAAAUCUCUAUGUUGAAAAU